GGCCGCAGCAGUGGACGUCCAUGGACGAUCUUCGGCCGACUUUUAAUCCGUAGGUUCAGGGUUCGAGUCCCUGGCGGCCCACCA
This 84-nucleotide transfer RNA is filed under the name Sphaerisporangium krabiense. Its description in RNAcentral is "tRNA-Lys". Lineage: Bacteria; Bacillati; Actinomycetota; Actinomycetes; Streptosporangiales; Streptosporangiaceae. The record is from RNAcentral.